CAGCCGCCACGGGAAUACGUAGGGUGCGAGCGUUAAUCGGAAUUACUGGGCGUAAAGCGUGCGCAGGCGGUUAUAUAAGACAGAUGUGAAAUCCCCGGGCUCAACCUGGGACCUGCAUUUGUGACUGUAUAGCUAGAGUACGGUAGAGGGGGAUGGAAUUCCGCGUGUAGCAGUGAAAUGCGUAGGUAUGCGGAGGAACACCGAUGGCGAAGGCAAUCCCCUGGACCUGUACUGACGCUCAUGCACGAAAGCGUGGGGAGCAAACAGGAUUAGAUACCCGUGUAGUCCCUGUCUCUUAUAC
This 301-nucleotide ribosomal RNA is filed under the name uncultured bacterium. Its description in RNAcentral is "partial 16S ribosomal RNA". It matches the Rfam family "Bacterial small subunit ribosomal RNA", at positions 509 to 807 of the family's 1533-position model. The record is from RNAcentral.